GGCCUUGAGGGACAUUUUCUUUACUCAUGGUUUGCCUGAAGUUAUCCUCACUGACCAGGGCACUGAAUUCAAGAAAGAGGGACUCACCCUGGCUGGCCAAAGGAUUCCCCUUCAGCCCCUGUGCUUCCAGGAGAUGCUGAAAUGCUGACUUCAUCAUCGGAGGAGGAAACUGAGUGUCAUUGUUUCACGGACCACACAUAUGCUGACCCCACAUCAACCCAGAAACAACUGGUGAGCAGGUU
Long non-coding RNA from Entelurus aequoreus (snake pipefish), 242 nucleotides. RefSeq lists it as uncharacterized. Lineage: Eukaryota; Metazoa; Chordata; Actinopteri; Syngnathiformes; Syngnathidae. The record is from RefSeq and is a predicted model, not a curated record. The transcript is spliced from 3 exons.